GCCCGCCUAGCUCAAUCGGAUAGAGCGUCAGACUCUUAUGUGCGGGCAUCUGAAGGCUGCGAGUUCGACCCUCGCGGUGGGCU
Non-coding RNA from Marasmius sp. AFHP31, 83 nucleotides. NCBI's taxonomy places the organism in Eukaryota, Fungi, Basidiomycota, Agaricomycetes, Agaricales, Marasmiaceae. The record is from the annotation of a GenBank genome assembly.